This is a long non-coding RNA of Uloborus diversus, 1681 nucleotides long. RefSeq lists it as uncharacterized. The transcript has 3 exons. The record is from RefSeq and is a predicted model, not a curated record. NCBI's taxonomy places the organism in Eukaryota, Metazoa, Arthropoda, Arachnida, Araneae, Uloboridae.
GACAGUGCUGUGGAAAAACCCAGAAUCUGGAAAAUUAAAGGUUGCCUUGUUAUUUCCUUUACAUGCUACUCUUUCUUUAUCACCUGAAGAAUAAAGUGCAUGCUAUCACCCCGCUUCAGUUUCUUCCAGAUAUUCUGCAACUUGAAGAAAGCUCAACUACUAGCUGAACUAUAGCCCUGAUGCAGAUGUUCUAGAAAACUCAUGAUAGUAUUGUACUGUUCGCUUAAAGAAUUGUAUAAUAGAAUGAUCUCCAAUAUUUAGUUUACAAGGAUGUCCAGAAAUCAUUUUCCAAGUUUUCUUAGCAUGACAGCUUUAUCAAAACAAAUGAAGUUGUUUAAAAAAAACAAUGAACUUCCAUACAUAAUAUGCCAUUCAUGUUUGUUAUGCUUCUUAUUAUGCUGAUGACUUCAGGAAAUUUGUUGCUAAAAUGGUCUUUGGACUUUCAGCAAUGACAUGCAAACCAACAAAAAUUCUGUGUUUAAAUGCUGAAUAGUGUAAUUAAAUGAAAUUUUGAUCUUCUUCAUACAAACAGUGCUGUAUUUCUGAUUUGUCACGCUUAUUAUCAUAUUUAUUAUCAUUCAUUUGUAUAAUAAUAUUGAAAUGUAAAGAGGUAAAACAAACAAUAAUUUUGCAACAGAAAUUGAGAAAUAGCUGGAAUUCUGUUUUGAGUCUCUAAAUUUAGAGUUUUGAAUUUGUUUUGUAAAACAAAUGCGUUAAGGUUUAUGCUUGUUUGUCAUGUAAAAAUAUUGUUUUCAAUUUAGAUUUUUAAUAAAUUUUUCGGUAUUCAAUGCAAGGCUAAAAAAUUCAGGUAUACAUAAAAUUAUGAAAGAUAUAUUUAGGUUUGUUUAUUUCAGCAUUAAAUGAACAGUUCAUUGAUGCUUAUUCUCUUUGUGUAGUUAUCCAGAAAUCCCCCCCCCUCUCAAGAAGAGAUUUUUCUCCCCACUUAAACUACAGGGCAGGAUUUGAAUAACUGCAAAUAACUCCAAUUUUGGAAAGGAUAGGUAGCAACUGUUAUCUUAGUCCACUUCCGACUGUCAAUGCACCUUCUCUGUUUCUGACUAAAUUCUGGAAGCAUUUUUCGGCAUGUUGGAAUAUAGGUCAUAUUCAUCCAUCCAUGAUACAGGGUAAUGAAUGGAAUUGCAAUCUAUAUGAAAAAAUCUGAACAAAAAUUCAAUUUAUUUCAAUCAAGGGUUUUUUUUUUUUUUUUCACAAACAUUCACUUCACAAAUAGUAUAAAAGAAAAUAAAUUACAAGCAUCAGUAUAUUUUGCCCUGUCUAAUCGAAACUCCCUAAUUGAGUAGAUGGGAGUAAAGCCUAUAAAAAAUUUAUUUUCUUUAUUUUUCUAUGCUUAUAAACGACUGAAAUUUUUGAUUAAACUUGUGUUUCGUCCAUAGUUAUUAGUUUUAGUAAAUGAUACUUUGGAGUAAAGAAUUUUUAAAAAUUUGAUAAUAAUAACCACAUUUUGAACAUGUGAAUAUUUUAAAGUUACGUUGCAUUUCAGAAAACACAAAGAUUAAUCUUUGCUUAUUUUGUUACUUAAGCAGUUAUUGACAAUAAUAGUUUGCCCCAAAAUCUAUAAAAACUACAAAUUCUGUUUUGGUACCCUGAAUUUGAUUUUCAUUGCCUCAUUGAGAAAAAUGUCUCUGUUUUCUCUCUCUUUUUUUUUUUUUUUUUGUGUGUG